This 63-nucleotide microRNA precursor is filed under the name Octopus vulgaris (common octopus). RNAcentral's name for it is "Ovu-Mir-12582_pre stem-loop". Lineage: Eukaryota; Metazoa; Mollusca; Cephalopoda; Octopoda; Octopodidae. RNAcentral also lists the same sequence under 1 other name. The record is from RNAcentral.
UGUUUAUGAAUGACUGCUCUCAAUGCAGACUCAGAGUCUGAGAUGCAGCAGCACAUGAACAGG